Bos taurus (domestic cattle) is the source of this 1054-nucleotide long non-coding RNA. The record is from Ensembl. NCBI's taxonomy places the organism in Eukaryota, Metazoa, Chordata, Mammalia, Artiodactyla, Bovidae.
GAGACUGAAAGCCUGCUGACGUGAGCAGCAUGGUAAAGAGCACUGGCAGCCUCAACAUAAAAGAGGCUCCCAGCUGACAACCAGGAAAGAAACGGGACUUCACCCUUCAGCCUCGAGGAAUGAGAUUCUAUCCCCAACCUGAGUGAGCCGGGAAGUGACUUCUCCCCCCAAGACUCCAGAUAAGGGCCCAGGCUAACCACCAUCUUGAUUUCACCUUGUGCAACCUGGAGCCAAGGAAUCAGUCAGACCCACAGGACUUCUGACUUGCAGAAGUGAGAGUUUCCUCUGUCCAGUUGGGUGUGUUUGGCCAUCCCCAUAAUCAAAGGCUGGAAAUCCCUCCCUCACCAAUGAAAUAAAGUGGGAGCGAAUAAAACAGUGAUAACACUGCAGGCGGUGAGAAGUGAAGGAAGAAGACGCCAUGUAAACCUUGAACAGACAGCUGCAGAUAUGUGAUGACUUGAGAAUUUCUGAAACAUCUGUCUACCUCUAAAAGAAGCAUACAGUUUUAAAGUCUCAAGACUGGAAAGAAUGUAAUGGUCAAAUACUGUGACCAAUCAGCUUGUGUUUUAAGUCCUUUUAUCUAUAUCCCCCAAAUGUCCUUUUAUCUAUAUCCCUCAAAUGUCACCACCAGCCUAUGAAUCACACCUCUGAUGAUAAGAAACUUAGUUAUUUCUCAAGCUCUAAGUGCUACACAGUCAUCCCUUACAAAGACAAACUUUAAUCCAAAACAUUUUCUGUAUGUUAAGUGUUCUAUUCUGUAUUAUAAGAUUCUAUAUUUGUAUCCUCAGAACCUAGAAAAACAUAGGUAUGCAAGUGCUCAGUGAGGUUGGUUGAAUGGAGUUGAAAAAAUUUCCUUGGGUUGUAUACUAUAUUGCCAUCUAGUUAAUUGUGUGUGCGUUUUAUUUUCCUAACUAGACUGUAAACUCUGUGAGGGAAUGACAUCUUGUUUUAUAUAUUUUUGUAUCCUCUGCCUUCCCUAGUAUUAUUAUAUAUGUAUAAUGCCCCUAAUAGCUAUUUGUUGAAUUUAAAAUGUGAGUGAAUGAAUGAAUGAAUA